Molecule: ribosomal RNA, 253 nt
Filed under: uncultured bacterium
Lineage: Bacteria
Description: partial 16S ribosomal RNA
Rfam family: Bacterial small subunit ribosomal RNA
Source: RNAcentral
UACAGAGGGUGCAAGCGUUGUUCGGAAUCAUUGGGCGUAAAGAGCGCGUAGGCGGCCGUGUAAGUCCGACGUGAAAUCUGGAGGCUCAACCUCCAGCGGUCGUUGGAAACUACCCGGCUAGAGUCCGGAAGAGGAGAGUGGAAUUCCUGGUGUAGCGGUGAAAUGCGCAGAUAUCAGGAAGAACACCGAUGGCGAAAGCAGCUCUCUGGGACGGUACUGACGCUGAGGCGCGAAAGCGUGGGGAGCGAACAGG